UGUUAAAAUUUUAUUUAUUUCUACUGUUAAAAACUGACGUGGUUGACGAAAUAACUAAACAGUCGCACAUGGCAUGCUACAUGUACCCCAUGUCAACAUACAAUGACCAGUUUUUAACCGUAAAAAUAGAUGGAAUUUUUAAUA
Gossypium raimondii (Peruvian cotton) is the source of this 144-nucleotide non-coding RNA. NCBI's taxonomy places the organism in Eukaryota, Viridiplantae, Streptophyta, Magnoliopsida, Malvales, Malvaceae. The record is from Rfam.